Oncorhynchus keta (chum salmon) is the source of this 1797-nucleotide long non-coding RNA. RefSeq lists it as uncharacterized. The transcript has 2 exons. NCBI's taxonomy places the organism in Eukaryota, Metazoa, Chordata, Actinopteri, Salmoniformes, Salmonidae. The record is from RefSeq and is a predicted model, not a curated record.
CUCAGGACAGACGGGCGACUCCGGCAGCUCAGGACAGACGGGCGACUCCGGCAGCUCAGGACAGACGGGCUCGGGCUUCCUUGACCGCCAUGCCAACUCUAUUCUCCAGGAUAUCCCUCCUCGCACUGUUCCAGAGAAUCCCAGGCGGGCUCCGGCACUCUCCCUGGGUCGACCGACCACCUUUCUAUCUCGUCCCAUGUUGUCACCUCCUCCAGAUAGCGCUGCUCCGUACCACGCUGCUUGGUCCUUUGGUGGUGGGUGAUUCUGUAACGCUCGUCGUAGGUGGAAGAAGAGGAGAACCAAUGCACAGCGUGGUAAGUGUCCAUAUCGUUUUAAUACGAAUACUGAACACUGAACAAAAAAAUAAAACUGACAAAACGAACAGUCCUGAAUGGUGAAGCAAAACACAGAACAGAAAAUAUAAUCACCCACAACUCAAGGGUAAAAAAAGGGCUGCCUAUGUAUGGUUCUCAAUCAGGGACAAUGAUUGACAGCUGCCUCUGAUUGAGAAACAUACCAGGCCAAACACAGAAAUACCAAAUCAUAGAACAAAGAACAUAGACUGCCCACCUAACUCACGACCUGACCAUACUAAAACAAAGACAUCACAAAGGAACUAAGGUCAGAACGUGACAGGUAUGACGGCUGCGUGGUCCCAUGGUGUUUAUGCUUGCGUGCUAUUGUUUGAACAGAUGAACGUGCUAUCUUCAGGCGUUUGGAAAUUGCUCCCAAGGAUGAACCAGACUUGUGGAGGUCUACAAUUUUUUUCUGAGGUCUUGGCUGAAUUUUUUGAUUUUCCCAUGAUGUCAAGCAAAGAGGCCCUGAGUUUGAAGGCCUCACUCCCCCCUAUCUGAGAUAUCUUCUGCAGCCUUCAUCCUCCACAUACAACACCCGUUCUGCCAGUCAUAUUCUGGUCCUCAAAGCACACACAUCCCUGGGUCGCUCGUCUUUUCAGUCCGCCGCAGCUAGCGAAUGGAACGAGCUGCAACAAACACUCAAACUGGACAGUUUUAUCAAUCUCUUCAUUCAAAGACUCAAUCAUGAACACUCUUACUGACAGUUGUGGCUGCUUUGCGUGAUAUAUUGUUGUCUCUAUCUUUUUCCCCUGUGUGCUGUUGUCUGUGCCCAAUAAUGUUUGCAUCCUGUUUUAUGCUACUACCAUGUUGUGCUGCUGCCAUUUUGUGUUGCUACCAUGCUGUGUUGUUGCUGCCAUGCUAUGUUGUUGUCUUAGGUCUCUAUUGUCGUGAUGUGUGUUUUGUCCUAUAUUUGUAUUUAUAUGUAUGUUUAAUCCCAGCCUCUGUCCCCGCAGGAGGCCUUUUGCCUUUUGGUAGGUCGUCAUUGUAAAUAAGAAUUUGUUAUUAACUGACUUGCCUAGUUAAAUAAAGGUUAAAUAAAAAUGUAAAAACUGGUGCACCGGCAUUUUCCAGCCCUAACGCCAGGUUUGGCAAUUUACAGGGGUGUGGAAAUAUUUGAGGCGUGUCCUUAAAAACAUGAUCCAAAGUGCUAUUUUCAGGCAGCGCUUGUAGGGAUAUUUAAGAACAACCAAAUGCUGGUUUUAGCGGUAACAUAGUUGGUUAUGGCAUGAAUUUUGACAGUGGAAACAGCCUAUUCAGCCGUGACGCACACUGCCCAUAUGCGCAUGGAACAAUAUGUGAUAUGGGGCCUGUAUAUUUCGUAUUUAUAAACAUAAAACACUCAUAGUCUCCCCUACUCUCAAUUAAGUAUGUUUUCUUUUUGUCCUGCCCAAUGUAAUCAAGUAGGCUAGUCAAGACCGUCAAUAAAGGGUUUGGCUCCUGA